Molecule: long non-coding RNA, 2045 nt
Organism: Leptidea sinapis
Lineage: Eukaryota; Metazoa; Arthropoda; Insecta; Lepidoptera; Pieridae
Exons: 2
Source: RefSeq, a predicted model, not a curated record
UUGUGAUUAAAUGUUUGACGGACGGCGUAGAUUGAAAUCCAUCCUAUAAUUUCUCAAUGGAUCUAGUACUUAAUAUAAACGUUUUCUGCCUAUGAGCAUUUGCCAAAAUAAUGUCAACUUAUAAUUUAAUUAAUACAAUAUUAAUAUUUUGGAACGGAUAGAACGUCAUUGGAAUGGUUAUGUAAUAACACGAAUUGCUUUAUUUAUCAGUAUAAAGGUACUUUAGGUUUUUAUGUGGUUAAGUACAAUAUUCAGUUAUUGCGCUAUCGUACACAAAAGUGAAAAUUUAUAUCAUACAUAGAAAUUUACAUCUUUAGAACUAUUAAAAUUAUUAUAUAUUGUUUAUAUCUCAGAAAUAUCAACUUUCAUCCAUAAUUUCAACGACACCUUCAUCAUCUUCAUUACCAGCAUCAUCAUCGCCAAUCUCUAAAACUGAUGCGAUAGGUUUAUGAUAGCUGAAGUAAGAAACAAAAUAAAAAAUAAAAAACAAAUAAUUGAAUCAUAUUAACCGCCUUAGGGAGAUUCAUCGCUAAUGUCAAAGCUUAAAAAUCAAAUAAUUAAACUGUAAAAAUAUUUCAUGGCUGAGAUUCAAUCCCUCGACCUCCUGGUGUUUCGGCUUCGCAAUUAAAUUGAUUCAACCACAGACUGGUCCAUGACCGUAUGAUCAAUAAAUUGAAAUAGACGAACGAUAAUUAGUUAGAAGUUGAAAUCUUUCAUCCAAAAUUUCAACGACUUACGAAGAUAGGAACUUGUGGACACUACGGUCUUGGCCCAACGUCGUAGUGUCCACAGCCGUCAUACCCUAAACUCUUGGGUAGUAAGGUAUAUAAAAAGCUCUAGUGAGAUCCACAUAUUGCCCGACUAGGAGAUAGAUUGAGCUGUGUUGCAAACGCCGUUAAAAUAUUUGAGAGUACACGAAUGUUGCUUCCGCUAGAUUACAUUACAUUGGUACAAUUGCUAAUGCAGUUGUCAACACGAAUAACUAUUGGAAGUACAUCAUGAAGCUUGGCACAAUAGAAAUAAGUUGAGCGUGCCACUGUCCUGAUGAGUCCAUCAGACAUAUUAUUGCCGAUUGUAAGUAACUGGGUAAAGGGUCAGAUACAGAAGACAGAACGGGAACUUGGGAACGCAGGCUUAGCACGCAUUCUCAGCCUAUCGCCCUUACCACCGGCGGAAUUGUCGUGAAUCUACGCCGGAGGGACUAUACUUUAUAUAUAUAGAUAUAAAUAUGUUUACAUAAUAUAUAAAUGUUGAAAAUUAUACGUGACGAUAACACAUUAUUUGACCUCUGUUCGAUUGAUUGACAAACACGGCAAAUUUUUUAUCUUGAUCGUCUUUAUAAACCUACGAAUGUCACAGGAUAUCAUUAACAUCAGGUAGGUACGUUAGAUCGCUAUGAGUAAGUAUUUCCUGAAGGAAAUUCUAAGAAGUUUUUGUAUUUGGCUUACCGUCAUUAUCCCCAAAACGGGGCUAAGUUUUAGCAGCAAUUUUUCUUCAAAACUCUGUGUUAAAUAAAAGUCUAUGAAGACAUUAUAUUACCGUGUAGUAUUAUCAAGGUAUCUUUAUUAUAUGUAAGUGUUUUCGGUUGCAUUUUAAAUGCAAUUCGCACAUCCUUUAUAUGCGGUUUUGAUCGUUUUGUAUCAAACUUUAUUUCCAAGCUUUGAGUAUAUAUACUAGAGAAUUUCAAACUCAAUUAUAUACUUCGUUCGCUCCUGUAGUAAAACAUACAACAUGAAUUCAAAGGUAAUCCUGAUCGCUACAAUCAUGCUUGUCCUGGUUGAACUCAGCACUUCAGCAUCUCGUGUUCGUCGUGAAGAAACUAAUUCUGAAGGAGGUUCCGGUGGUGAUGCAUCUGCAUCCUCUAGCAGCAAUACUGAUUUCAUCAAUAACUUAAGUCAAAUGUUCGGAAAUGUGCCGAUGAGUCCUCAAGAUUUCAUGAAACCUUUUUUGAGUUUCAUAAAUCGGAAAGGAUCUCAAUAAGAGAUUGUGAUGAUUAAACAAUAUGCUUUCUUUUAUAUAAUUGUGCAAUAAAUGUGUUUGAAGCA